RNAcentral lists this long non-coding RNA (669 nucleotides) under Mytilus galloprovincialis (Mediterranean mussel). The record is from RNAcentral. Lineage: Eukaryota; Metazoa; Mollusca; Bivalvia; Mytilida; Mytilidae.
CAUGUCUUUUUCAUUUUUUUGUUUAAAAAGAAAUGCACUAUGAAAUCAGUUCUCAGGAGUCUCUUUUUGGCCGAUCAAACUUGACGAUUAGGGGUUUCAAAUUGUCUUUCAGAAUCAAUUAACACUAUUUAUUUUUUACAUUUGUUGACGUACCAUCAAGGUGUCUCAUGGUAAUAAGGUUGCUGCAUACAGAAAAGCUAUCAGCAAUUUAGAGUAUGGAAACAAAAAUUCAUUAGAUCAUUUAGCAAAGCAUUGACUUAACCCACAUAAGCUUGGCCACACUUAAAAUAUUUUGGUUUGCCCAAACACUACCCAACAUGGAGACAGUGGGUAGGUAGGUAGGUAGGCAUAUUCUUUUUCUUUUUUUUGGCAAAGAGAAAUGUAGGUAUCAGAUGUUUAUUAGUCUUCAUGCCUAUCUGAACAAGAGAGCACACGCUGAAAUGUCUCGCCUUCUAUACUAAUCAUUGAUAUUAUGUAGAUAGUCCUAAGUAUAAAGCUUUAUUACAACUGUCUCAUAAACUUAACAUUAACCAAGAUAACAAAACAAAGACCAAUGAACCAUGAAAAUGAGGUCAAGGUCAGAUGAACCAUGCCAGGCAGACAUGUACAGCUAACAAUGCUUCUAUACAACAUAUAUAGUUGACCUAUUACUUAUAGUUUAAGAAAAAU